UACGUAGGGGGCAAGCGUUGUCCGGAAUCACUGGGCGUAAAGCGCGCGCAGGCGGUCAUCUACGUCUGGGGUGAAAGCCCGGGGCUCAACUCCGGAUCCGGUUCCCAAACUGCUAGACUCGAGCGUAUCAGAGGACAGUGGAAUUCCCGGUGUAGCGGUAAUAUGCGUAGAUAUCGGGAGGAACACCAGUGGCGAAGGCGACUGUCUGGGGUAUUGCUGACGCUGAGGCACGAAAGCCAGGGGAGCGAACGGG
Molecule: ribosomal RNA, 253 nt
Filed under: uncultured bacterium
Lineage: Bacteria
Description: partial 16S ribosomal RNA
Rfam family: Bacterial small subunit ribosomal RNA
Source: RNAcentral